CGCACAGCAAACUCCUCACCUCUUAUCUCCCCUUCAGUUCCUCUUUUCUCCUCUACAAUAGAUCAAGGAAGAUGUUUUUGCUCUUAGCUACCCAUUAAUCAUUAAUAAUAAAUACUUAUAUUUUUAGAGUCAUCACACUACCAAGGCGUUCACCAAGGCAUUUCCGGACAAAAGUUUGAGAAAGUGGCAGGGCAGGCACCAUUAUCACUCGUUAACAGAGGCCUGGCAAGCGGCCUGUGAGGGCGCAGCUAGAACGUGGGCGCGCCUGACUCAGACGCCCUAAACCCUGCACGUCCUCCAGUAAGGCACAUUCCGCAUCACCUUGGCCUUGGGACUCGGAGCUUGAGGACAGAGGAGAAAGAGGAAAGGGCCGUCCAGCUCCUGUUCCUUCCUGUCCUUCCGCGAGACAACGGCGCCCUGCGGUAACGGUUGAAGAAAGAGGGUAGCUGAAGUUCAUCUCCUAAAACUGGCUCGGCGUGCAGCAGGGACAAAGCCACUCAGCUAAGCGGGUGGCGGCAGCGCAGCGUCCCAGGCUUCCUCGUCCAACCGAGGUUGCUCGCCUUCCGCAACUCCAUAGCCCCACCUGCUGGACGCUGCUUUGCAUACAGCCUGGCCGCGCGCACCUCGCUCAGGACUGCUGCUCUCUGGGAAUCUUCAGCCACCGCCCUCAGAAACCCCCAGAAAUGAGAUAGAAUAACAAGAUGUCCACUCUACCAGAUGGAAAGAAUUGGGACUUUGGAAACUUCUAUAAAUUUCAGAACUAGGGGGAUUAAAGACAGCAGCAUCCCAAGUAAACUGAUGAAGAAAUGAAGUUCCAGAAAAUCAAACUAAGCAGCCACAGAGAACAGGGUACUUACUCAGUUAUUCACUCAGAUAUGUUAACUGAGCACCUACUGUGUUCCUGAUAGUGUUAUACAUCGAUGAGAACUCAUUUAUGUACUUCGAGUCUCUUUGCCGGGCUCCCCACCACCUUUGUCCUAUCUACCUUUCUGUCCAUUUUCUCUCUGAAUAUUUUCCCCCUGUCCUUGGUAACCUCAUUCCAGUAAAAGCAAAUUCUUCUACAUUCACAACACCCUCCAAGAAUUUUCACUAUAUCCUCCUCCUCACCACAACUAAAUCCUGGCCUUACCCCAAGAACACUGUUUUCUUUGCAGCCCUCUUGAGUGGAAGUUGUCCUUCCUCCCACAUGAGUUCUAUUUUCCUGCCAAGGGAGUGUUUGGGAUCAGCGUCCUCCCAGCUUCCCCCCUGCUGGCUCCACACUAUUAUGCUUUUACCUUCAUUUAAGGCUCUCAUGCUGUUGUUGCCAUCGAUGCCCCUGGCCCACACUGGCUGAGAAUCUUCCCAUUCACCUCUAAAC
RNAcentral lists this long non-coding RNA (1357 nucleotides) under Heterocephalus glaber (naked mole-rat). RNAcentral describes it as "lncRNA (ENSHGLG00000044177.1)". Lineage: Eukaryota; Metazoa; Chordata; Mammalia; Rodentia; Bathyergidae. The record is from RNAcentral.